RNAcentral lists this ribosomal RNA (460 nucleotides) under uncultured bacterium. RNAcentral describes it as "partial 16S ribosomal RNA". It matches the Rfam family "Bacterial small subunit ribosomal RNA", at positions 338 to 795 of the family's 1533-position model. The record is from RNAcentral.
CCUACGGGGGGCAGCAGUGAGGAAUAUUGGUCAAUGGCCGUAAGGCUGAACCAGCCAUGCCGCGUGAAGGAAGAAGGAUCUAUGGUUUGUAAACUUCUUUUAUAGGGGAAUAAAAGUAUCCACGUGUGGAGAUUUGCAUGUACCGUAUGAAUAAGCAUCGGCUAACUCCGUGCCAGCAGCCGCGGUAAUACGGAGGAUGCGAGCGUUAUCCGGAUUUAUGGGGUUUAAAGGGUGCGUAGGUGGUUUGUUAAGUCAGUGGUGAAAUGCUGAGGCUCAACUGUGAAAUUGCAGUUGAUACUGGCGGACUAGAGUGCAGUAGAGGUGGGCGGAAUGCGUGGUGUAGCGGUGAAAUGCGUAGAUAUUACGAAGAACACCGAUUGCGAAGGCAGUUCACUGGACCGGAACUGACACUGAGGCUCGAAAGUGUGGGGAUCAAACAGGAUUAGAUACCCCUGUAGUC